Molecule: ribosomal RNA, 1242 nt
Filed under: metagenome
Description: bacterial LSU rRNA
Rfam family: Bacterial large subunit ribosomal RNA
Source: RNAcentral
UGAAUACGAGACGCUAAGGCGUCGAAGUAGUGUAUGUCAUACUUCCAAGAAAAGCUUGCACUGUCAUAGAUAAAAAACGCCUGUACCAUAACCGACACAGGUGGGUAGGUAGAGUAUACUAAGGGGCGCGAGAUAACUCUCUCUAAGGAACUCGGCAAAAUAGCUCCGUAACUUCGGGAGAAGGAGUGCCUUAUUCGUAAGGUUGCAAUAACAAGAUCCAAGCAACUGUUUAUCAAAAACACAGGUCUCCGCUAAGUCGUAAGACGAUGUAUGGGGCUGACGCCUGCCCAGUGCCAGAAGGUUAAAGAAGUUGGUUAGCAAUUGCGAAGCUGAUAACUGAAGCCCUGGUGAACGGCGGCCGUAACGAUAACGGUCCUAAGGUAGCGAAAUUCCUUGUCGGGUAAGUUCCGACCCGCACGAAAGGCGUAAUGAUUUGGAUACUGUCUCGGAGAGGGGCUCGGUGAAAUAGACUUGUCUGUGAAGAUGCGGACUACCUGCACCAGGACAGAAAGACCCUAUGAAGCUUUACUGUAACUUGAAAUUGAAAUUGGACUUUAUUCGCGCAGUAUAGGUGGGAGGCGUUGAUUAUAAUCUUGUGGGAUUAUUGGAGCCAUCAGUGAGAUACCACUCUUGUAAUGUUAGAUUUCUAACUUUGAAUCAUUAUCUGGUCAGAGAACAGUUUCAGGCGGGCAGUUUGACUGGGGCGGUCGCCUCCUAAACGGUAACGGAGGCGUACAAAGGUUUCCUCUGAACGGUUAGAAAUCGUAUCUAGAGUGUAAAGGCAUAAGGAAGCUUGACUGUGAGACCUACAAGUCGAGCAGGGACGAAAGUCGGUCUUAGUGAUCUGACGGUACUGAGUGGAAAGGCCGUCACUCAACGGAUAAAAGUUACUCUAAGGAUAACAGGCUGAUCUCCCCCAAGAGUUCACAUCGACGGGGAGGUUUGGCACCUCGAUGUCGGCUCAUCGCAUCCUGGGGCGGUAGUACGUCCCAAGGGUUGGGCUGUUCGCCCAUGAAAGCGGUACGCGAGCUGGGUUCAGAACGUCGUGAGACAGUUCGGUCCAUAUCCGGUGUAGGCGUUAGAAUAUUGAGAGGAGCCUUCUUUAGUACGAGAGGACCGAGAAGGACAUACCUCUGGUGUACCAGUUAUCGUGCCAACGGUAAACGCUGGGUAGCUAUGUAUGGAGUGGAUAACCGCUGAAAGCAUCUAAGUGGGAAGCCCACCUCAAGAUAAGUAUUCUCA